Solea senegalensis (Senegalese sole) is the source of this 2912-nucleotide long non-coding RNA. RefSeq lists it as uncharacterized. NCBI's taxonomy places the organism in Eukaryota, Metazoa, Chordata, Actinopteri, Pleuronectiformes, Soleidae. The transcript has 3 exons. The record is from RefSeq and is a predicted model, not a curated record.
AGGACAUGAUGUGACGAGUCCGCUUCACAUGCUCGCACACAUCUUCGGGUUCAGCGUUUGGAAAAACUACCAUCGGCGAGACGUGGGAUAGGGGAGGAGCGGACUAUACCAAGCUGGCGUCCUAUCAUGGAGAGGGGGCUUUGAACCACUCGUUUGGGAACCACUUGUCUUGACCAAAAUGAUGCAUCAACAGACAAAAUGUAUAGACCCACCCAGAUUUUCAUCUCACAUGGCUGGAAAUCACAGCCUGCCACAUGGACCCAGCAGUUAUUCCUUGGCCUUUGGAUCAUCACACCACCAUUCAGUCAGGAUUUAAUAAAGAAAAGGCAACAUUUUGUGAGAUACGUAUGCCCCAGCACUAUUUAGUGAUGGCCUUCAGUGAUAUAGAUAUCUCAUUUCGGAAAUGUCAUCCAGUUAACAUGCUCUAUGUGACAAAACAGAUAACACAAACAGGAAAUGGCUUUUUACCCACCUGCCAUGUUAUCUCAAUUAUGAUUUGAUUUAAUGUGCACGAGGUAAAGCCCCCUCCACGUGAGUCAUUUCUUUUAAUGGAAUCACCUUUCAGGAUUUGAAAGGAAAUACGAGCAUUGCUUCAAAAGUAGCAGAAACUGGACAGGGUGAAACAGGGGCAGAGGCAUGUGAGGCAUGUCAAAAUAAUAGGUUAGAUUUUACACUCAGACUGUGCUCUGCUCUUCUUUUUUUUAGUGACUGCUGCCUCCAGAAAUGGCACUAAUGGCAAAGAUGGUGUAAAGGUGACCUGGCACUGAAGGAAUGGCCUUUCCAUGCACCAGGAGUGUGAAGAUGCUGUGUGUGACUUCAGGGCACAUGUUGGUGCUGAGUACGAUCUCAUUUAAUAUAGUACAGUACUUAAAAGAACAUUUUCUUCCCUCUCUGUUGAGCUGAAGAACAAGGUCACAUCACAAACAGUCACUAUACAAUUUAAUUUUUUUUAUUGUUAACUACUAGUUUUACUGAGAAAUAUCACAAUAUUAUUGAUGUGAGCAUAUUCUACGUGACUGUAAGGAAAGACCAUUUUUAUUUUACAUCUGAUUACCUGAGUGUCAUUGUAAUUACAAUAGAACAUCCAGCACACUUUAAAGCAGAUUGUGUAGGAAUGAUAGAAACUUUUUCACAAGGUAUGCUACAUGAAAGAAAAAGAAAGGUACAUGUAUUUUCUUUUCUUUCUUUCUUUUUUUAAAAAAAGAAGAAAAAAAAAGCAAUCAUGUGAAAGUGCAAUCACUGCUGAAAUCUCUGGAUUUGAUUUAGCACUUUGUCAGAGAUGGAUGAAGCCCUGAUCUGUGUUUUAGUGAACCAGGGGACAAACAACAACAACAAGUAUGUCAAGGACAUCAUGACUCAUCAUCAGUUUUCUGUUACUAUGUUACUGAAUCUAUAUUUGAUGAGGACAGACAACAGACUUGUGUGUUUUGCAAAGACUGUCCACUCUCAAUGUAAUGCAACCAUCUUGGCAGUGAACAAAUCACAGCAUUAGAACAUGAAAGCAACAUGCAUCGAAUCAUGAGUUUUAACAAACAUACACUUAAGAAGUUUGGUGACUUCACAUGCAUGCACAAGACUUUGCAGUACAGCUCUAGAGUGCUAAGAUGUGCUGAGAUGUGACGCCAUCAACUUAUUCCACCAGGAAGCUUCAACAAAUCCAAAAGCUUAUGUGUGGCAUUUGAAAAAAAUAAGCUGUUGCACCACACAUUGGUCAUGAUAUCACCACCACAUCAGCUGAAACUGGCAUGACAACAGACGUUUUGGGUGGAGGGGCAGGAUAUACUGAAUAUUAUACAUCACGUUUAGACUGACAGGCCUAAAACUAGACCAAGGCCAAAGUUGUCUGUCUGUCUGUUUAUUUGUUUGCUUGUUUGUUUGAAUGGCAUCCAUAAACUGUUGUGGGAAACUACAGUUGUCUUAUUAGACCAUCCUUCUCUCAGUUCUAAUUAUGUGGAGCUGGAACAUAAGCAAGACGCUGAGAAGACCCUGCAUCAUUAGGUGUAAUCAACCUUGGAUACCCUGAAACAAAAACAACACACACGCACAUACACGCGCACACACACACACAGCUGACAGUUGUUCAAUACCUGACAUUCAUCAUUUUGGUCCAGCCAGGCUUUUUAAUUACCGCAAUGAAUUCCCUACAUGGCUCCAGUCACCAGUCACCUGCUAUCUAAACAAGGUGUAUUGUUGAGGCUGUGCUUUGUUGAGACACCAUUUAAUGGAUAAAUGUCAACGUAGUCUGUCAUUGUGGUGAAUAUUAAAGGUAAACACAUAGAAUAGGAACAAAAAUCCAGUUUCAUAGUGGCUUCAUGAUGACAUGCUUCUUAUAUCUUGGCCAUGAAACUUGAAUAGGCCUAUUUUUUCUUAAGCCAUUAAACUUUAUUAACUGACCCACUUUGCAACAAGUGCUGCCUGUGUGGAAGUGUACAUGAAUGCUGCUAAAUAUUAUCAGUAUGUCAUGGUGUCACACUCCCUGAAAGACCCUUAUCAGCACAUUUUGGCAUGCAACACAUGUGUGACUGCAUAAAAACAGCAAUUUGCAUGUAUUAGUCAUUUGUAAACAGCUGCCCUGUCCAGCACAAGUGCAUGAUGAGGGUUUGAUUGGCUGCUCUAAGAGGAACCAGGGGACACACAAUCACAGCCCCGGUUUCUAAUUGUCUUCAUCUCUUUCUAGAUGCAGUUUACAGUUCCAUUUGUUAAGUCUAUAACCUCCAGUUUGUAUUAGGGCCGUAAUUCAUUUGAAUGUGUGCGACGUCAAAACAGUCUUAGGUGGCUACCGGUAAUUGGUUUGUGGAAUACAGCGACCCAUGCAGGCCAGUAGUGGUACUGCCAUAAUCCUGUAUGCACCUUGCAAAAACAGUCAGAAAGGAGGUUACUAUUUGAAAUGAACGACCAAUAAACACAUACAA